GGAAAAGGCCGAAAACGACCAGGAAGCAAAGAGUGACCUGGUGAAGAGGGCCGUGCGUUGUCCUAAUAUGCACCUGAACUCGUCUUCAUUCGGGCGUCGCUGUUUCUACUACGUCCCCAAACCCAUGAGCUGGGCUCGGGCGGAGAGAAACUGUAAGUCCAUGGGUGGUAGCCUUGCAUCAGUACACAGCCUC
Long non-coding RNA from Monopterus albus (swamp eel), 193 nucleotides. RefSeq lists it as uncharacterized. The record is from RefSeq and is a predicted model, not a curated record. The transcript has 3 exons. NCBI's taxonomy places the organism in Eukaryota, Metazoa, Chordata, Actinopteri, Synbranchiformes, Synbranchidae.